CCUACGGGGGGCUGCAGUGGGGAAUAUUGGACAAUGGGCGAAAGCCUGAUCCAGCCAUGCCGCGUGUGUGAAGAAGGCCUUCGGGUUGUAAAGCACUUUCAGUGGGGAAGAAAGCCUUGGGGCUAAUACCCUCGAGGAAGGACAUCACCCACAGAAGAAGCACCGGCUAACUCCGUGCCAGCAGCCGCGGUAAUACGGAGGGUGCGAGCGUUAAUCGGAAUUACUGGGCGUAAAGCGCGCGUAGGCGGUCUGAUAAGCCGGUUGUGAAAGCCCCGGGCUCAACCUGGGAACGGCAUCCGGAACUGUCAGGCUAGAGUGCUGGAGAGGAAGGUAGAAUUCCCGGUGUAGCGGUGAAAUGCGUAGAGAUCGGGAGGAAUACCAGUGGCGAAGGCGGCCUUCUGGACUGACACUGACGCUGAGGUGCGAAAGCGUGGGUAGCAAACAGGAUUACAUACCCGUGUAGUC
RNAcentral lists this ribosomal RNA (465 nucleotides) under Vreelandella stevensii. Its description in RNAcentral is "partial 16S ribosomal RNA". It matches the Rfam family "Bacterial small subunit ribosomal RNA", at positions 338 to 795 of the family's 1533-position model. Lineage: Bacteria; Pseudomonadati; Pseudomonadota; Gammaproteobacteria; Oceanospirillales; Halomonadaceae. The record is from RNAcentral.